UACGUAGGUGGCAAGCGUUAUCCGGAAUUAUUGGGCGUAAAGAGCGCGCAGGUGGUUGAUUAAGUCUGAUGUGAAAGCCCACGGCUUAACCGUGGAGGGUCAUUGGAAACUGGUCGACUUGAGUGCAGAAGAGGGAAGUGGAAUUCCAUGUGUAGCGGUGAAAUGCGUAGAGAUAUGGAGGAACACCAGUGGCGAAGGCGGCUUCCUGGUCUGUAACUGACACUGAGGCGCGAAAGCGUGGGGAACAAACAGGAUUAGGAUACCCCCGUA
RNAcentral lists this ribosomal RNA (270 nucleotides) under uncultured prokaryote. RNAcentral's name for it is "partial 16S ribosomal RNA". It matches the Rfam family "Bacterial small subunit ribosomal RNA", at positions 524 to 792 of the family's 1533-position model. The record is from RNAcentral.